GAUGAACGCUGGCGGCGUGCUUAACACAUGCAAGUCGAGCGAAGCACCUUGACGGAUUUCUUCGGAUUGAAGCCUUGGUGACUGAGCGGCGGACGGGUGAGUAACGCGUGGGUAACCUGCCUCAUACAGGGGGAUAACAGUUGGAAACGGCUGCUAAUACCGCAUAAGCGCACAGUACCGCAUGGUACGGUGUGAAAAACUCCGGUGGUAUGAGAUGGACCCGCGUCUGAUUAGGUAGUUGGUGGGGUAACGGCCUACCAAGCCGACGAUCAGUAGCCGACCUGAGAGGGUGACCGGCCACAUUGGGACUGAGACACGGCCCAAACUCCUACGGGAGGCAGCAGUGGGGAAUAUUGCACAAUGGGGGAAACCCUGAUGCAGCGACGCCGCGUGAGCGAUGAAGUAUUUCGGUAUGUAAAGCUCUAUCAGCAGGGAAGAAAAUGACGG
RNAcentral lists this ribosomal RNA (447 nucleotides) under uncultured bacterium. RNAcentral's name for it is "bacterial SSU rRNA". It matches the Rfam family "Bacterial small subunit ribosomal RNA", at positions 28 to 457 of the family's 1533-position model. The record is from RNAcentral.